Molecule: long non-coding RNA, 393 nt
Filed under: Lactuca sativa (garden lettuce)
Lineage: Eukaryota; Viridiplantae; Streptophyta; Magnoliopsida; Asterales; Asteraceae
Description: long non-coding RNA (LSAT_LNC005225)
Source: RNAcentral
UACGGCACUCAUCGGUCUCUGGGUUGUCCUUGCAGUAAGUCUCCAAGGGGUCGGCGUCUUUCGCCUUGUCUCUGGCAUGGCUAGAAGCGGCACUCAGCUCUUCCACUUCAUCCCACGCCGCCACACACUCACCGCUGACAGGGUCAUCUGCACAUGACUCCUUGGCGUUCUCGAUGCUGGAGGCUAUCUUUUCCGACAAACUUUCAGGUGCCGCCCUCACCGGCAUCAAAUACAUCCUUCCUGAGCUCAUCAUCCUUGUAGUUGUAGGCAUCUUCACCCAUGAGGAGACCUUCGGUGAGUCUGAUGAUGGGCUGGCCAAAACCCGAGGGAUUGAAAGACUAACACCAGCCAUUGUUGCCAUUGUUUAUGGGUUUCUUUGAUGCAAACUACCAA